GUGUCUAGGAUACAUCUGCGAAGGUUAUUGCAUAGAAAUGCCUGAAGCUGGCAGACCUGAUUACAGCAAAGUGAGCCUACUGCCUGUCCCAGUUGCUUCUGCUAAAUUCACUUUUUGGCCUUCAGCAUUUACAAGAGUAGCCUGUAUAUUUUGAACCUAGAGAUGAAGCUGGAAUGCUCUCUGCAAAUCUUGUAGGGGAAGGGAAGUUAAAAUAGGCAGAUUUGAGAUCUGGAUUUUAAGAAAGGAAAUGUAGUUUAGAUGUGGUCAUUUGUCUUAGGUCUAAUUUUUAUCUUGUCAAGGCAGUCCUUAAGCCUAGCUAUUAUUCCAAUAAGACAACUGAGAGUCCCUUAUACAGGAUUUUUUUUUUUCAAAUAUAGUCAAUUUAUAUUUUUUCAAAUAUAGUCAAUGUCUGGCCAUUGAUGAAUAGGAUCUAUUAAUAGGGAGUCAAACCAAUAAGCCUUUUAAUGGUUUAACCAAAGAUACAAGGGGUGUCCAGAGAGGGCAUAUAUGAUAUAACCCCCAUGAUCCAAAAGUUCACUCCCAAAAUUAGUCUAAGAACAAAGACCUCUGUUGCACAGGAGGUAAGGAAGUCUCUGGUCUCUCAUGAAAUGGUGAGAUGCCUCUAGUCACAGACCCUCUAAUUUGUGACACUGGGUGGGUGCUACUGGGAUGGGAUUUUUCUAGCCCUGCCAAGCAACGAAGCUUGGACAACAAAGGCCCCUUAUGGGCUGGGACCUUUUAUGACAAAUGCCCCUGCAAGCUGGCCUGGCCAGAGAGAGUGCAAAUUGUAACUAUGCGUCUCUAUUUGACUGGCCACCAAAGUGGACCUCAGUAAGUGUACCCUCCUGAAGGCAGAAAUCAGAGAAAAAUGUUCUCAUGGGUCACAAAGCCAAACUCUUAGGACACAGAACAAAAGGAAAAACCUCAUUCUGUUUUUACAUAGAGGAUCCACAGCAAAGUUUGUUUAAAUGGAUGGCCAGUCUCUUUAACUCAACAGUCUCUGAGGUCAGCUUGAGAGUUGCCCAAGGAGCUAGUUCCACAAUAUUUUCUCCUGCUAAUCUAAAUUUACAGGAAGAAAAAAAGAUUCUCACCACUCUAUCUCCAUUGGACUCUGUAGAGCUUCCAGGAGGCUGACAUGAAUCCCAAGCAGGGUCUGCACAGUCAACGUGAGGCUCAACACGGGGGCUUACCCCCACGAACUGUGAGAUCAUGACAGCUGGGAUCAAGAGUUGGACGGGCAAGGGACUAAGCCACCCAGGCGCCCCACAGAUAAGUCUUUCAGAUGUAAACAGUUAUCUCUGGUAACAGCUCUCUUCCUGUUACAGGCCCUCUAUCUGAAUUCCUUGGGCGGUUUUCCUGAGUCAGCUUAAUUUCCUUCAGUUCAAAACAAUCUACAUGCCCAAGUGGCACACUCUGGGGUUGUGUUUUCUACUCCCCCUCAACUUCUUAAACAAGCCCUCACAAUAACUACA
Neofelis nebulosa (Clouded leopard) is the source of this 1472-nucleotide long non-coding RNA. RefSeq lists it as uncharacterized. NCBI's taxonomy places the organism in Eukaryota, Metazoa, Chordata, Mammalia, Carnivora, Felidae. The transcript has 2 exons. The record is from RefSeq and is a predicted model, not a curated record.